Molecule: transfer RNA, 58 nt
Filed under: Cavia porcellus (domestic guinea pig)
Lineage: Eukaryota; Metazoa; Chordata; Mammalia; Rodentia; Caviidae
Source: Rfam by way of RNAcentral
GGGGAUUUAGCUCAGCGGCAUAAGCACCUGCCUUGCAAGCAGGCCGUCGUAAUCCCCG